CGGGCGGCCGUGACCCUGCUGGAGUGCGGGGGGGACCUCCAGCCCCCCGGGGGGUCCCUGCGCCUCCUCUGCCGAGGGGCCGGGUUCGAUUUUGGACAAUUUGGGAUGGGCUGGAUGCGCCAACGACCCGGGCAGGGGCUGGAAUUCGUCGCAGGGAUCACCAGCACUGGUGACAACGCCGGCUACGUGGAUUCAGUCAGGGGCCGGUUCACGAUCUCCAGGGACAACGGGCAGAGCUCGGUGACGCUGACCAUGAACAGCCUCAAGGACGAGGAUUCCGGAUCCUAUUUCUGCGCCAUACCUUAUUCUCUGAAUUUCAUCCCAAACCUCUCAUCUUGA
Melospiza melodia melodia is the source of this 339-nucleotide non-coding RNA. NCBI's taxonomy places the organism in Eukaryota, Metazoa, Chordata, Aves, Passeriformes, Passerellidae. The record is from the annotation of a RefSeq genome assembly.